RNAcentral lists this ribosomal RNA (119 nucleotides) under Marmota monax (woodchuck). The record is from RNAcentral. Lineage: Eukaryota; Metazoa; Chordata; Mammalia; Rodentia; Sciuridae.
GUCUACGGCCAUACCACCCUGAACGCGCCCGAUCUCGUCUGAUCUCGGAAGCUAAGCAGGGUCGGGCCUGGUUAGUACUUGGAUGGAGAUCAAAAAUGACAUUUAGAAAACUAAACAUC